RNAcentral lists this long non-coding RNA (18542 nucleotides) under Nicotiana tabacum (common tobacco). Its description in RNAcentral is "long non-coding RNA (NTAB_LNC018934)". The record is from RNAcentral. Lineage: Eukaryota; Viridiplantae; Streptophyta; Magnoliopsida; Solanales; Solanaceae.
AUGCAAAUGAAGUUAGGAGUUUCGUUUUGUGAAAGGUAUUAAUUAAGAAUUAGCAAAAAUUAGUAAGAAUAAAAUAAAAAAGUCUUUGUUAAACUAAAAGUGCUUAUAAGCCAAAAACUAUUAAGUUGAAUUGAUUUUGAUUUAUAGCUUUAUCUCAAAUCCCAAGAUAAGUUAAAAAGUACUUAUAAGCUAAUUUGAUGAACUUAUAAACUUAGCCAAACACACUUUUAGGCUACAAAAUGAUCGAAGCAUGCUAUUUGGUUCAUUUCUUUACGAAUUUUUGCCAUAAAAAGUCAUUUCAAAAUUACGCCAAGGAUACAGAUGAUCAAAUACAAGCUUACGGAUCAGGUGACCAUUCAAAAAUCCCACUCUUAUCCUAUGGAACAAAUCUAGUGGCGCAUGCCUUGAGUAGUAUUUUGCGCAAACGGUGUAGACCUAUAGUCACAAUUCAGCUCGUAAGUAAAUUUGGGUUUGUGAUCAGAGACUGAGUCAGAAUUUCUAUCUUAUGGGUUUUGAAUUUUAGAAUAACAACUUUAACUGUUAAUGACUGAGUCUAAAUUGAAUAUUUAUACAUAUUUAAUGAAUUCUAAACACCAACUACACUAUUUGAGAAAAAAUUAUUUUGUUCGACCAAACUCGUAGCUUGGCUUGUGCCACUCCCUUAUCUGUGAUUGCGGUGGUUUUAACAAGUUACUUCAUGUACCAAAUUGAUAUUUACUGUGUAUUUUCAAGCGGUAUCUCAGCCUAUUGUAUAUAUCAAUACAUAUUGUUUUUCAGAUAAUUAUAUACACAUAAAAAAAUCACAAAACGAUGUGGCCAUGCCAAUGAGAACAACCCUCAAAAGCUAGAAAUUAACACAAACGUAAACUACACAUGCGUAACAAUUACUUAAGAAUUACUCACCAGAAGCAAACAUAAGAAGAAAGCAAAAGAGGACAGCACAGAUACUUAUUUUGCUAACUUUAGGUUGAGCCAUUUCUUAAAACUUUUUGAGAUGCUUUGUGAAAUCAAGUUUAUCAGAGGGUCUACUUAUAGUGACACAAAAACAAUUUUUUAACAUACACUUGUGCUUAAUUAACCUUUAACACGCAAAAUAAAGAAAAUGUCAAGUUAACGUUUUGAACUGAUCAAAUGUUUUCCUUCUUGAACCACCAUGAAAGUAACAAGAACUUACUACUGAAUAAAAAAAGUAAUAAUAUUGAUCAAGGUAAAUUACAAAGACUUACUGGAAGCCUGAUGAUAGUCUUUUAUUAAUUAUUCUUUUCUAUGGUUUGUUGCUUUUUCCCCUUCUCUCUCUUAUUUUGAAAUAUUAGUAGUAAAUUGAAUUAUUAAGGGUUUGUCACCCUACACGUAACGGUAACUCAUUAUUUGUGAAAAAUACUAAUGGAUUCAACUAAUAUUAUUGAUAGUGUAAACAAUUUUAUAUAAGUGUUGAAUUUUAUCAUGUUGUAGCAUAUAAUUUGCCUUUUUUUUCAAGUUACUUAUUCCAUUUUAUGGACUAUAGUAUAUAGUUAUCUUCUAUGUGAUUUGAUUGUGGAAUUAUUCAAUAACACUAUUAUAUUAGUGUAUAGAAGUUGAACGCUAAACUAAUUCAGCUUGUAACAGUACAUCAUCUUGUUAAAAAAUAAAAGUAAUGAAAACAAACUUCAAGCUUAAAUACUUGUAUGACUUAAAACUAAUAGUCGACACAAGUGGUUGAGAAACUUGUAGGAAAAAUGACACUGUGUAGCCGCUGUAAAAAUAAUAGCCGAAAAAAUGUAUAAAAUUUGUAUAUUUUUUGUAUAUAUAUACAUUCGGUAUGUUAUAUACAAACAUUAUACAAAUUUUAUAUACUUUUUCGGCUACCAAAUAUAAAUAGUUUUUGGCACGGGCAAAAAAUGAUAAUACCCCAAACUUGUACAGGAGAACAAAACCCAAGUGGAAUUGGUAGAGACAGAAAGUUGUACUGUAAAAAAGGAAUUAAAGAUCAAGUUGCUUCAAGUUUGAAAUUUUCAAAACUUUAGUAAUGUAUUUGUUGGAUUAUAAUGAAACUAAGAUACAAUUGCAUGUUAAAUUAAUUGAUAUCUACUCUCUAAGGAAGCACGUAGCAAUCAAUAGGAGUGAGAAUCAGUCGAUCAGUUCAGUUCAAUUUUUCUUUUAUUUUCGAUUCAAUUCCAUUUUUCUUAAUUUUGACUUAAUUAAAUCAGUUCGAUCAUGUCUGCUUGAGACUUAUUUGAACCUUUGUAAUUAAGUUGGGCUUUUGAUUAAACCUUUAUGCUUACUUGAUAAGUUAUGCGAGUGUGAUUUUGAUUAUUUGUCAAAUUACAUGUAAAAACUAGAUAGGAACCUAAUACAAUCAGUUGCUCUUGUGCUCUUUGCAACAUACCUUGUUGAUUGGUUUAAUUCUCAGGGAAAACAAAUGAGGGAACAGCAUAGGGAACAUACAGGAUCAGUUCUUCAGUUCGUCGCGCAAGUUCGUCGCGCAAGUCAAUUCUAUAGUUGUUAAAGCUGUUGCACUGUACUUGCAACAGUACAGCAGCACAACUGCAAUUUACUAAACCGGAAAUGCCCUUGUAACUAACCUCAUCAUCUCACAUAUAUAAACAACAUGUUACAAGGUAUUGACCUAAUACUUGCAAUUACAAAAACACAUAUUUUUCAACUGCGCAGCCGCCUUUGUUUCCCUCAAGUACAUUGAAGAACAAAGCAGCUACAAAACAAAGGACCAGAUCCCAACAUUGAAUAUGUCAUGUGUUCUUUAGUAUUGUUAUGUCUUUGUCUUAUGUUUUUUAUUUAUAAUUCCGACACAACAUUUUUAGAAGUAUUUAGUAGGACAUUAUUUAACUGUCAUUGCUUUUGGUUGUUGUCUAGAGUUAGUCAAGAGAGUGACUUUAUAAUAGAGUUAUUACAAAGAGCUUACAAUAGAAUUAUUGUAAGAGGUGAGGGAUUAAGAGUUUAAUUCCUAGAUUGUAAUAGGUUGUAAUUUGAAGUUUGCUCGGUUAGUGAAGUUGAAAUCCUACCAAGGUAGGUCGUGAUUUUUAAUCCCGUGAACUGGGAGUUUUUCACAUAAAUAUUGUGUGUUUUUUACUUACUGUUGCUUACUGUGGCAACUGAUAGAGAACCUGGUUCUCUAUACUGUUUAGUGGACCCUUAGUUUCUAUCAAUUAGUAUCGGAGCGGGCACUUUCUAAAAGGUUGACACCUAGAAAGGAUCUUCAUGGUUGCUCCACCAAACUUCAAGGAAGGACAAUCAACCUACAGACCACCAAAAUUCAACGGCCAAUACUAUGGUUGGUGGAAAAUAAGAAUGCACGAAGCUUGUAGAAUUUAUUUCGGCGUGUCCUUCUUCGAUUACCGAUCUCGAAAGUUGAACUACAUUCCCCGAGCCCGUAUCAUCUACCUCGACCGAUGACCCCAAAUUCGCCAGUGCGUCGGCCUCACUAUUCUGUUCCCGUGGCACAUGUCGUAAAGUCCAUCGUUUGAAAUGGCGCAAAGUUAUAAGUAGUUUAUCUAAAUACCUCUGCAUUCUACCUUCUCGAACUUUUGAAAGUUUUGUUUNNNNNNNNNNNNNNNNNNNNNNNNNNNNNNNNNNNNNNNNNNNNNNNNNNNNNNNNNNNNNNNNNNNNNNNNNNNNNNNNNNNNNNNNNNNNNNNNNNNNNNNNNNNNNNNNNNNNNNNNNNNNNNNNNNNNNNNNNNNNNNNNNNNNNNNNNNNNNNNNNNNNNNNNNNNNNNNNNNNNNNNNNNNNNNNNNNNNNNNNNNNNNNNNNNNNNNUGACAAAUGAGGUUUUUUCCUGGUCCUCCGGGUUCAUAUAUAUUUGAUUAUACCCGGAAUAGGCAUCGAGAAAAGUGAGGAUCUCGUGGCCGGCUGUGGCAUCGAUCAAGCGAUCAAUGUUGGGCAACGGAAAAGAAUCUUUGGGGCAUGCUUUGUUCAAAUCCUUAUAGUCCACGCACAUUCUAAGUUUGUCCCCUUUUUUAGGGACUACAACUACGUUGGCUAACCAUUCGGGAUAUUUUACCUCCCGAAUGGACCCUAUUUUGAGUAGUUUGGUUACCUAGUCCUUUAUGAAGGCGUUCUUUCUAUCGGACUGGGGUCUUCUUUUUUGCUUCACCGGUCUGAACCUAUGGUCCAAACUUAGCUGAUGCGUCGUUAUGUCCGGCGGGAUCCCUGUUAUAUCUAAAUGGGACCAGGCGAAACAAUCGAUGUUAUUGAUAAGAAAUUGAACGCGUUUCUUCCUGAGUUCGGGGCUCAACCCCGUUCCCAAGUAUACCUUUUGCUCGGGCCAGCGCUCGAUUAAUAUGAAUUGCUCUAGCUCCUCGAUCGUCGAUUUUGUGGCAUCGGAGUCAUCGGGAAUUACGAAAGAUCGAGGGACCCUUUGGUCCCCAUCCUCUUCGACUGAUAGAAAGAACAUUGAGAAGAACUUCAAGGCAGAGAAGAUUCUUGUCGGUGGUAUUAGACCAGAUGAUUACAACUUCAUCUCAGCUUGUCAGUCUACUAAGGAGAUCUGAGAAGCUAUCUAAAUUGCCCAUGAUAGAACUACUCUGGUUACGCAGUCCAAAAUUGAUAUGCUUACUACUGAGUUUGUGCUUUUCAAGAUGAAGGAUGAUAAGUCUAUUCAGGACAUGCACACAUAUUUCACCUCCACUAUCAAUGAUCUUCACUCCCUUGGAGAAGUCAUCCCAAGAAAUAAGUUGGUUCAAAAAAUACUCAGUGUGUUACCAAGUUCCUGGGAAAGUAAAGUAAAUGUUAUCAGUGAAGUCGAGGAUCUGUAGAAGCUUACUGUUGAUGAACGCAUUUGUAAUAUAAAAACCUAUGAGAUGAAGAAGAAGAAGAAAGAUCUUGAAAGAAUAAAGCCCAAAAAGGAGAAGAGCCUGGUUCUCAAGGCUGACAACAGUGACUCAAGUGGUGAUGAGACAAACAUGGCCUAUCUUACUCGAAGAUUCCAAAAAAUGGUUCGUAGAAAUGGAGCAAUUCCCUAGAGAGGUAGUUCUAGCAGAAAUACCAAAGAAAAUGAUUAUUGUCAUAAGUGUGGAAAGCUAGGACAUUUUAUCAAAGAGUGUCCUCUUCACAAUGUCGAGGGUCUAUCGGAAACAACAUCUCUAUCUCUUUGAGGCAGGGGUAAGGUCUGUGUACACACUACCCUUCCCAAACUCCAUUUAUGGGAUCAAACUGGAUUUCUUGUUAUUUUUUUAGUGUCCUCUUCACAAGAAGGACCACUACAAAUACAACGCUGACAAACCACAUAAGAAAUUGUGGAAGAGGAUGAAGGUGUUGAAGUGUUGAUUUAGCAUAUUGAGGAAGGAGGAGUGGAUGAAAAAUCAGAUUCUCAUGUUGCUGAAGGGUCACAUGCAUCUGAGUUUUAUGCAGUUCAAUGUAUUGAAGGGGUUAUUUCUACAUCAGGUAAUCUUCCAUCCCCUACUAUUGUUACAGAAGUUUUGGAUAGAGAGGGUGAGAAAAUAGGGAGUGAUACACUCAAAGAAGGCUCUGUUUCUCUUGAAAAAGAGCAUGUUACUGUGGAGACAUUGGUUCAGCAGUCUAUGUAUGAUGCUGUUGGUGAAGAGACUUUGGGGGGACCACUAAAUCAAAGGGGAAAACAUGGUAAGGGGAUCAAGUAUCUGUUAGUUCUAUAGGGGAACCUACAGAGGGACCUGGUCCCUCUGCCCAAGGGGAGAUUUCUGCUCCUACUCGGGAUGAAACUUCUAGCUAUACAAGACAGCCCCCUGGAUAGUGCUGUCACGACCCCUUUUGACCACCCUAUUAGUGUUCUAUUGGAUGUUAUUUACCUAGAAAAGAAGUCUUUGUCUUAGGAAAAUUCUAGUGAGAGUGAUGAUGAUACUGAUGAUCUGCAUGUGAUACGGUAUAUAGCUGCUAGGGAUGGGUUAAAGGCCAUAAAGGAUUCUAUUCCCAAACGUCCCACUACUAGACUGUAGAGAAAUGAUGCACUUGACAUUGCCUUGAAAGUAAAUAAGGAGAAGAAGAAGAAGAGGAAGAGGCUUUUGAAAUGUCGGUUGAUUAAUGAGGACGAUACGUCUGAUGUAGUGGAGGUAGAUGAUGAGAAGCCUGUUAGGGAACCCUCUCCUCUUGUUAGAAAAAACUCUAAGAAAACCGCUGCUGCCAAGCAGAAGAAAAUAAUAUCUGAAAAAGAACUUGUGAGUGACAAAGAUGAUGAAGUAGAGGAGGAAGGAGAAGUGAAGAAAGAGAAAGUAGAGAAGAAGAAGCCUCUUAGAAAGAGGUAGAGUACUAGUGAAGAACCUAGUUCCUCCAAAAGUCCAAGGGUGGAAUUAUCUGAGUUAGAGAAGAGGGCAAAUCUGAAGAAGCAAAAGGCUAUGCGGGGCCGAGUCAUUGAUCCUGAGAUUCUUGAACAACCAAGCAUGAGACACCUGGUAUAAAUUGUGGAAUUCCAGAAGUGGACCCAUCUAUUUGAAGACAAAAGUCCAAAAGUUUAUGAAGAUGAGGUGAGAAGCUUCUAUGAUGACUUGUUUGUAGUAUAUGGGGACACAAUUUAUUUGAAGGUGAAUGGAAAGGGCUUUGUUAUGGAUGAGCACUUGCUGGGUGAGAUUCUUGAGGUACCUACCGUUGGGCUGAAGAAUAUGGAGGGAACUGGUUCCCCUGACUUUAAGAAGUUAAUCAUCAUGAAACAAGUUGUUCAGAUGGGGGAAAGAGUGCACAAGAAGGCAUUUAUGUCAACAUACCAACUGUUGUUUGAGUUGAUGAACAAGGUGCUGCUACCUAUGGCUUAGAGGAAGUCUAUUGCCUCCAUUACAGACCUGGAUUAUCUGGAAGCACUAGACUCCUUCUCUUCCAUCAGUCUGCCUGUGAUUAUGAUUGAACAUAUGCUGAAGGGGGAAGAUUUCAAGGAUGGGAAUCAUGGUCUCCCCUAAGGGUUCCUCCUUAACAAAGUCUUUGAACACUUUGAAGUUCCCUUGGGAAAAGCAUUUGUGGGGACAAGAAAGCAAAUGUUCACUAUGAAUACUUUGGAAGAGUGUGUGUGUGUGCACGGUUAAGAAGGGAGGAAUAGGAAGCAACUCCACUGUAGAGAUUAAGCGUCUCUCAGCUGAUCGAUGCUCAGGAGGCUACCAAUGCAGAGAUUAAGCAUCAUGCACACAGUGCCAUUCUAGAGUCUAAGCUUAUCAGGCUAGCAUGGAACCUAGUUCCAGCAGUGCUCAGAGUGAAGAGGUUUCCCGUUUGAAGGCUAAAAAUGUUGAGUUGACGAAACAAGUGGAGAACAUGAAGGAGUAGCUGAUCAAUGAUCAAAAGGUUGCUAAUGAUCGCAUGGAUAGUCUCAUCAAGGCUCUUGCUCUAUAAUCCUUCCUAUUCCCCAUCCAGUGUCCUUUGUUUUGCACCCUUCCAAGUCCUCUCCUAAUCAUGUCCUUUUAUUGCUUCUAAUUAUUGACUAUGGUUCUUUAGUUUUUUGAUUUGUAAUAUUUGUGUGACUAUGGUACUGCUACUCCUAUGUUUUCUUUCCCUCUUAUAAUUAAUGAGAAUGACUGCCUAUUUUAUGCAAUGUUAUACUCUUGUGUUCUAUUUUUAGUCAUGUUGUGUGCACAUAAGUGGCAUGAGUUAAAGUUGCUGGACUUCUUUUUGCAUAUGCCUGUCUAAUUCUUUUAAUGAUGCCAAAAGCGAGAAGAUAAUUUAAGGGGGAAACGGGUUCUCAAGGGGAAGGUGUCUGAUUUAUAGGGGGAACUUGUGGAAAUCUGGUUCUCUGAAGGGAAUAUCAACUCUAAGUUUGUCAUCAUUAAAAAUGAAAAAAUUGAUAAGAUAUACGAGUGUGGUUUUGAUUAUUUGUAAAACUUAAUGGAAGAACUAGAUAGGAACCCGAUACAAUUAGUUCCCUUGUGCUAUUUCCAACAUACCCUAUUAACUAGUUUAAUUCUCAGGGAAAACAAAUGAGGGAAAUGCAGAGGGAACAUAUAGGAUCAAUUCCUCAGGUCAUCGCGCAAGUCAACUCUACAGUUGUUAAAGUUGUUGCACUGUACUUGCAACAGUACAACAACACAACUUUAAUUUGCUAAACUGAAAAUGCCUUUGUAACUACCCUCAUGAUCUCUCAUAUCUAAACAACAUGUUACAAGGUGUUGACCUAAUAUUUGUAAUUACAAAAACACAAAUUUUCUCAAGUGUGCAGCCGCCUCUAUUUCCCUCAGGUACAUUGAAGAACAAAACAGCUACAAAAUAAAGGACCAGAUCCCAACAUUGAAUAUGUCGUGUGUCCUUUAGUAUUGUUGUGUCUUUGUCUUAUGUUAAUUCAAGAAGAGGCUCUUGGGAAGCUUGCCAAGCACUUGCUUGUGUCUGUUAUUACUGUGGCUAAGGGAAAAGUCAGAAGCCCAAAUUUUCCUUAAUAGCAAUAAUAAUACUUUUUCAGAUAACAGUCAUAAUAAAUAAGCAUUAUGGAGGAUAACACAUGAAGUCAAUAUAUAUGUCGCUAAGAGACAUAGUACUUGUGCUUCCUUCAUAUAUUUCAUGGCUCUUAGUUUGUUGUGAUAAUCUUUUUGGCACUCGUUAUUAGUAUUUCUUGUUUUCUACUAUUUCUUUACUUCUUUCCUAAGUCGAGUAUCUAUCGGAAAUAACAUCUCUACCUUUCCAAGGUAGGGGUAAGAUCUGUGCACGCACUACCCUCUCUAAACCCCACUUGUGGGACGUUACUGGGUCAGUUGUUAUGUUAUUAUUUAUAGCUAAGAGACAUAGUACUUGAAUUUUUAUCCCUAUUAUCUGUUCAUUUAUAUUACAAGAAAAGCAAGGUCAAAACCAAGCUCAAUAAAUUACAAAGAGUUUAAAUUCUAUGCACUGAAAAAUAUUUAUAUAAUUAAGUCAUUCAUUAUAUAAUUACAAUUACUUUUUUUGAUAAUCAUUAAUUGGCAUUUUGAUAAAAUUGUAACUAACUUGCCAUCCCCCAUUAAAAUUUAAUUAAAUCUAAUUGCAAAUACAAGGGUGCUACUAUGUAGGGCGUCCACUUUGUGAUCCAGGAUUUUAUAUCUUUUUAUGACAAAAUUAUUAUAUAAAUAGUGGGAAAGGAAAAGCAUAUCAAAUAUUUCCAAACACAUGCUCAUAAUAUUUCACAUUAGCACAUCAAGUGUGAUGACCCGAUAGGCCAUUUACAGUUUUAACCUUAAAUUCUGUAUUUUAAAACUUCGAAUAGCUCCGUUUAGCCUUCCUCGAUUUACGUCCGUAGUCAGUGUCUUUUCCCGGAAGGUUUUAUGUGAAAAUUUGAUUAAAAUGUAAAAUCGUGCCUUAAAAACUCAUUUGAGUUGACUUCGGUCAACCUUUUGAUCAAACAGACCCGGAUUAGUAUUUUGACGGUCCCGGUGAGUCCGUAUCGUGAUUUGGGACUUUGGCGUAUGCCCGGAAUCGAAUUCGGAAGUCCCUACCUCGAAUUAUCUUAAUUUAUUAAAAACUAGAAACUCUAAGGUUUAAAGAAUUAAUAAGUUUGAUCGUAGUUUGAUUUUAUUUCUACAUGGUACGGAACUUGGUAUAGGUUCAGUACUGUAUUUAUGACUUGUCUGCAAAAUUUGGUGCAAAAUGGAGUUGAUUUGACGUGAUUCGGACGCCCGGUUGAAAAAUUAAAAGUUUGUAUGUUUUAUUGAAAAUUUCAUUCGUUUUGUUGUCCAAUGCAUAGUUCUAGGUGAUAUUUUGGUGUUUUGAUCACGCUAGCGAGUUCAUAUAAUAUUUUUGGACUUGUGUGCAUGUUUGGUUUGGAGCCACAAGGGCUCGGGUGAGUUUCAGAUAGGCUACUGAGUGAUUUCAGACUUAGUAGAAUAGCUGAUGCCUUUUAUGUUACUAGUGCUUUGCUGUAGGUCUCGCAUUUGUGAGAUAUGGAUUGCAUUUACGAGCCUUGCUUCUGCGAACAAGGCUUCGCAUUUGCGAGCAUGGGCUGAUUGGGGGAUGUUCGCAUUUGCGAGGUGAAAGUUCGUAUUUGCGAACUUGCUUCUUCCGCUUUUGCGAAGAAAAAGUCGCAUUUGCGACUCAACGUGUUUCUGGGAAAUAUUCGCAUAUGCGAAGCGUGGUCCACAUUUACAUGGGCGUGGGUUCGCAUUUGCGACAAAAGCAUCGCAUUUGCGAUGACUGUCAUUUCUGAGAAGGUUUCGUAUUUGCGACCGCUUUCUCGCAUUUGCGAUGUUGGUAAUUGCGACAUCUACAGCUGGUAAAAGAGGGGAUAAGCGGGAUUUUAGCUCAUUCUUCUAAAUUCUCAACGCUAAAAACCUUAGAGGCGAUUUUCCUAAGAGCUUUUCUUCCUUAAUUCAUUGGUAAGUAACUCUAACGUACUUUCUUUCAAUUACUCAUUGCAUUUCAUAAGAUUUCAACCUUAAUUCUAGGAUUUUCAUGGUAGAAAUUAUGGAUUUGGAUAGAAUUAGGGAGUUUUAUAAAAUUGGGAUUUAGACCUCGAAUUGAGGUCGGAUUUUGAAUUGAAUUGCAUAACCGGGCUCGGGGGUGAAUGAGUGAUCGGGUUUUGGUCCGAUCCUCAGGUCUUUCAUUCGUGAGUAGUUUGUAAAGCUUAAUUUGAAUCGUUUGGUUAAUAAUUUGCUAUAUUUUGGUUGGUUUGGAGGCUUGUUCGAAAGGGAAGUAAAUACAUCAUCUGCUUGAAAAUUACAUAAACAGAGUUUUGUGAAUCUAAGGCUACCUUGAACAAGAGGCAGCUACAACUGGAAUGCAAGUACAUCAUCAGAUCUACUCCCUACCAAACACAGCAACAUCAGCAGCCAGCAUCUGCAAGCAAGGUACAGAAGUAUAGUAUGAGUACAACCGACUCCAUGUACUCAAUAAGUAACAAACAUAACCUUAGGUUAAAAGUAGUGACGAGCUUGUACCAAGGUUAGAGUCCAACUCAAAUACCCAACAAUAGUUCAUAACAACAUAACGCAAGUAAUAAAAGAAGUAACUCAAAGAUAAAAUGCUCAGCGUAAUCAUGAUAUCUAAAAAUAGUUCUGCCUUUCAAGUAUAUCAGUGAAAACCCAAAUCGUUCACUGAAGUUGCCAAAAAUAUGAGUAAGUUUGAAAACAGUAAUUUUCCCAAAAAUCCUUUCAAUAAUAAAUAAGAUGUCUCAUUUUCUUUCCAUAUAUCCAGUGUAAAACAAAUGCAUCACUAUGCCCAUAUAUCAACAUGUGUGAGAAGUUAUGAAUGACGUGAUACCGUAAAGCAUGAGGAAAAUACAUCUCUAUGGUUGUAUGUCAUGUGGGCAUAUCAAUGCAAUGUAUCUCAAAGAUGAACUCAUGUACUUACACUCUCAGAGUACUCAAUCUCACUUUCUCACACAUUUCACUCAUCAUGCUCAAUCACUCGGUACUGUAUAUGACCAAUCUGGCCCAGGGAAGAUCCAUUCCUGAAUAUACACAUCAACUGAUCAUCAGUCACUCAGUACCGAGUUGGGCCAAUCCAUCUUGUGGAGAAGAUCCAUUUUCAGGUAUAUAAUGCUUCGUACAAGAUCCAUGUACAUGGAAGAUCCAUCCCUCAAUAAUAUCAACCACGCUCACUAGGGGUGUGAAGACUCCGGAGGGGCUCCUUCAGGCAAGCACUAUAUCGUUGUGGCGUGUAGCCCGAUCCCAUAAAAUGUAAUCAAUAUAACAUGCUGCGGCGUGCAGCCCGAUCCCAAAAUAUCACUCUCACUCAGGCCCUCGGCCUUACUCAGUCAUCAAUCUCUCCAAUCUCACUCACGGGCUCACAAUGCAAUGAAACUAGCCCGACAACAAUGAUAUGAUGCAUCAAUAAAUAAUAACUGAGACAGUGAUAUGGUAUGAAUGCAUGGAUAUGAUUGAGUACGAAAUAUCAAUGAAAUCAGUGAGAUGACAGUAAGAAACGACCACUAUUGGUCUAAACAGUAUCGGCAUAAUGCCUAAACAUGAUAUAUAGCAUGGUUGACAGCUUAACUACUUUAUCAUAUUGUGGAAACACGGAUAUCAACAAAGUUGGACCACUAUACAGUGCCAUAGAAGCAACAGAGUCCAAAUUCACAUGGUUCACGCCCACACGCCUGUCACCUAGCAUGUGCAUCACCUCAAUAUCGAUCAUAUAAUGCGUAUUACAGGGUUUCAUACCCUCGGCACUAAGUUUAGAAGAGUUACUUACCUCGAACAAGCCAAUACCAAUGUCGAGCAAGCCAAGCGAUGCUUUGAAGAUGACAUCACACGCAUAGAGANNNNNNNNNNNNNNNNNNNNNNNNNNNNNNNNNNNNNNNNNNNNNNNNNNNNNNNNNNNNNNNNNNNNNNNNNNNNNNNNNNNNNNNNNNNNNNNNNNNNNNNNNNNNNNNNNNNNNNNNNNNNNNNNNNNNNNNNNNNNNNNNNNNNNNNNNNNNNNNNNNNNNNNNNNNNNNNNNNNNNNNNNNNNNNNNNNNNNNNNNNNNNNNNNNNNNNNNNNNNNNNNNNNNNNNNNNNNNNNNNNNNNNNNNNNNNNNNNNNNNNNNNNNNNNNNNNNNNNNNNNNNNNNNNNNNNNNNNNNNNNNNNNNNNNNNNNNNNNNNNNNNNNNNNNNNNNNNNNNNNNNNNNNNNNNNNNNNNNNNNNNNNNNNNNNNNAAUUGGCCAAAAUUCACACCUGGGCCCACGCCUUGCAACCCGAAAUAACUCACAAAAUCUGACACCCCAUUCAAUUAAGAGUUCAACCAUGCUAGUUUCACUCAAAUCCGACUCCAAUUCGAUGUUCAAAACUCAAACAUUCACAUUAUGAAACUUUAGGCAAAACCCCCCAAUUUCCUCUUUAAAAUUCACAAUCCAAUUACCAAAAAUGAAGGUAGAUUCAUGAAAUAUAACCAAAACCAAGUAGAGAACACUUAACCCAAUCCUUGUGAUGAAAAUUGAUCCAAAUAUUGCCUCAAUCCGAGUCCCACAUCUCAAAAUAUGAAGAAUGAACCAAAACCUUGAUUUAUAGCUUUUGCCAGCAUUUUCGCACCUGCGGCACAUUAGCCUCUUCUGCGACCCAAAACACGUUUAUGCGGACAAGAACUGGAGGUCUGUCUUUGCAUCUGUGGUAGAAACUCCGCUACUGCGCACACACAGGUGCAAGUCUAAAUUGCGUUCCUGCGCUGACUUUCGCUUCUGCGCCCUUUCACACCGCAUCCGCGCCUUCGCAGAUGCGAAUGAAACUUUGCUUUUGCGGACUCCUACUCCCAGCAACACCUCCGCUCCUGCGACUCGUUUGUCACUUCUGCGGCCAUCGCACCUGCGCAAACCAGCCGCAGGUGCGAUCACACCAGAACCAACAGCUUAGCAAAAGUCAAAAAAUACAUUGAAAUGAUCCGAAUCUCGUCUGAAAUUCACCCUAGCCCCUCGGGACCCCAUCCGAACAUGCCAACAAGUUCCAUAACACAAUACGGACCUACUCGAUGCCUCAAAACACACAUAACAACAUCAAAAUAAUGAAUCACUCCUCAAAUAGAAAUCUAUGAACUUUGAACUUUUCAACUUUAAUAACUCGUGCCGAAACAUAGCAAAUCAACCCGGAAUGAACCCAAAUUUUGCACACAAGUCCUAAAUGAUAAAACGAAGCUAUUCCAAUUCCUGGAAUCACAAUCCGAAUUCCAUAUCAAAAAGUCCACUCCCGGUCAAACUUAUCAAAAAAUCAACUUCCGACAUUUCAAGCCAAAUUCCACUACGGCCUCCAAAUCACAAUCCGGACGAGAUUCUAAGUCCAAAAGCACCCAACGGACCUACCGAAACCAUCAAAACUCCGUUCCGGGUUCAAAUUCACAAAAAGUCAAACUUGGUCAACUUUCCUAAGUUAAAGCUUCAACAAUGAAAUCCAUUCUUCCAAUUCGAUUCUGAAUAACCUGAAACCAAAACCGAAGAUUCACAUAAGUCAUAAUACAUCAUACGGAGCUACUCAUGCCCAUAAACUACCGAGCGAAGUGCAAAUGCUCAAAAUAACCGGUUGGGUUGUUACACUUUAAUUGUCAUUUACGUGACUUGUCUUACUGCUUUAUAUUAAUUAUAGUGGAUUCCUAAGUUGGCACGAUACUUCUUUUUUGGUUUUGCUUCAUGUUCGUUAAUCAUAGAGAUUCUUGUGAUUCGAGUUGUUAAAUUGAUUGCGCUCAUUGAUUUAUUUAUAUUGAUAUGGUGGGAUCAGGUUACGUGCCGCAACAGGUGGAAUAAGGGUUGAUUGAUAUGGUGAAAUGAGGAUGAAUUAAUAUUGAUAUAGUACGAUCGGGUUGUGCGCCGCAACAGGUGAAAUAAGGGUUAUUACGAUAUUGAUUCUGACUAUAUGGUGGGAUCAGGUUGUGCGCCACAAUAUAUAUAUAUAUAUAUAUAUAUAUAUAUAAUAAAGGGAGGAUAGUACGGUGGGAUCAGGUUGCGUGCCAUGACAAUUUAUGUGUUUCUAUUCCUUAUUGUAUUGUGUUGGCUUCGGUACUUUCAUACGGGAAUCUAAGGAUUGGUAUUUCUGGCAUUUACUGGUUUUCUUUAAAGAUUGAAUUAUUUUCAUGAUUUAACUGCCUUAUUUCGUUUCCGUAUUUUCCAUUUCUGUCAUUAUUUUAUACUGUAUUCAGGUUAUCUUGUAAGUGACCCGCCUUAGCCUCAUCACUUCGUCAGGGUUAGGCUCGGCACUUAUAGAGUACAUGGGGUUAGUUGUACUCAUACUAUACUUUGCACUUCUUGUGCAGAUUUUGGAGUAGCUCCCAGCGGCGUGUCACGACCCAAAAUCCAACUAGUCGUAAUGGCACUUAACCAAACCCGCUAGGUAAGCCAAUUAACCAUUAUCUAGUGUUAUGAGAUUUAUUAAGAGAAGAAAUAGUAAUACAACUGCUUUUAUAUAAGAAUUUCUAAGGACUAGUAGUACAAGUAAUGAGCUUCUAAGAUUUAGAUUUUUACAAGACUGAAUUGAAAUAAUUACAACAUCUGUUUGAAAUGUAAAUGGAUAGAAUUCGCAUCUGAUACUACCAGGGACAAGUGAUAGCCAAAACUGGAACAUAUGUACAUCUUCAUAUCCAGCACACGCCGUACGCCGCAACAUCCACAUCCAACAUCUGCACGCAAGGUGCAGAAGUGUAGUAUGAGUACAAUCGACCCCAUGUAGUCAAUAAGUAACAAACCUAAUCUUAGGUUGAAAGUAGUAACGAGCUGGGACAAAGGUCAGAUUCCAACUCCAAUAACCAGCCACAGUUCAUAACAAUAUAAUGAAAAUGGUACAAGAAAAUAACUUAGGGAUAAGAUAUUCAACUCGUUCACAGUUAUGAAAAAUAGGCAUGCUUUGCAAGUAUAACAAUAAAUCUCAAUUCUUCCAUCGAAAACACCAAAACAUAUGAGUAAGUUUGUAAACUGUGAGUUUCCCAAAAACCAUCCAAUAAUAAAAAAGAUAUUUCAUUUUUAGAUAACAUGAGAAAAGUACAUCUCUAUGCCUACAGGUAAUUAUGCAGGUGAAAUCAUGAAUGCCACCAAAACCUAGCAUGACGGAAUGCAUGUAUAUGCCUGUUUCUCAAGUACGCAUGCCAAAUGCAAUGCAUCUCAGUGAUGAACUAAUGUACUCACGCUCUCAGGGUACUCAAUCUCACUGUCUCAUAUUCUCACUCACCAUGCUCAAUACUCAGCUCACUCAGUCACUCGAACAUAAAUAAACCCAAGGCAGACCCAGCCCAAUGCAAAUGAAUCCAGGACAGAUCCAACCCAAAAAUCCAUAGCAACUGCGCCCACUAUGGAUGUGCAGACACCGGAGGGGCCAAUCCAUCCCAUGCGCUAUAAUAAGCCAAAUCCUCGCACGAAUAAAUAAAGCAUGUUGCGGUGUGCAGCCCGAUCCCAUAAAUAUCGCUCACAACAUGCCCUCGGCCUUACUCAGUCAUCAAUCUCUCCAGUAUCUCGUGCUCACAAGAAUCAUGAUAAUCAGCCUAAACAAUGACGCUAUGAUGUAUAAAUAAAGGACAACGAGACUGAGAUAUGAUAUGCAAAUAAUAGUUGUGACCGAGUAUAAAUUUCAAAUUUAAGCAAUUAAUUCAACAUGUAACAUGACCUCUGUGGGUCCCAACAGUACCAGCAUAUGGCCUACGUAUGAUUUGUAACAUGGAUCACAGAUCAAUUACUCUAGCACGCAGAGAUUUCACAGUUACAAAUAAGAUUAGGUAACUACACAGUACCACAGAAAUAACCGAGUCAUGAUUAACACGGUGUACGCCCACGCGCCCGUCACCUCAACACCAAACACAUAACACAAAUAUUCGGGGUUCAUACCCUCAGCACCAAGUUUAGAAGUGUUACUUACCUUGAACAAGUAAAAUCCAAUACCGAGCAAGCCAAACGAUGCUCCAAAAAUGCAUCUUGCACGUAUCGACCUCCGAACGGCUCAAAACUAGCCAAAAGCAACUCAAAUACAUCAAAUGAAGCCCAAGGAGCAAUUCCAAAUGAUAAAGGUCUAAUCUUUAAUCAAAAGCCCAUAGUCAACCAAAAAGGAAAACCUGGGCCCACACCUCAGAACCCAGUAAAACUCACAAAAUCCGACAACCCAUUCAAUUGCGAUUUCAACCAUACUAGUUUCGCUCAAAUCUGACUCCGAAUCGAUGUUCAAAACUCAAGAAUUCACUCUAUGAAAAUUUAGUCAAAACCCCUAACUUUCUCUUUUGAAAUCAUCAACCAAAUGCGAAAAAUGAAGAUAGAUUCAUGAAAUAUAAACAAAAUCGAAUAGAGAACACUGCCCCCAAUCCAUAAGGUGAAAAUCGCUUCAAUCUGAGAUUCAUAGCUCCAAUUAUGCAAAAUGGUCGAAACCUCCGAAAGAGAGUACUUUAUAAUAACUGGGCAAAUUAAUGAAUCGCGAUCGCGGAAAAACCAUCAUGAUCGCGAAGAAUAACCUACACUGCCUCCACAAUUAUGCUACGCGAACGUGAAGCACACAGGCGCCCACAGUUUGCGACCGCGUUCAUACAUACGCGAAAGGGAUGAAGAAGCUCCCAACUCCAGCUCUCAACUCAGCCCUAUGCGAACGCGGUAGCUCUUAUGCGAACGUGAUUCCCAAACUCCAUAAACCAACGUGAACGCGGACAGCUACUUGCAAACGUGAAGAAGGAACUACUCCACUCCAGAUUUUUCAUCAACGCGAUCGCACCACUAACUUCGCGAUCACGAAGAAGACUUGGUGCACCAGACCCCAGCAAGAACCAGCAAGGCCAAAAUGAAGGAAAAUGAUCUGAAACACGUACGCAAUUCACUCGAGCCCCUAGGCACCCAGUCCGAACAUGGCAACAAGUCCCAUAACCUAACACGGACCUACUCGAGGCCUCAAAUCACGCAUAACAACAUCAAAAUGAUGAAUCGCACUUCAAAUAAGACCUAAAUAAAUUUUCAACUUCCAAAACACCGAAACAUAUCAAAUCAACCCGUAAUGAACUCAAAUUUUGCACACAAGUCUCAAAUGACAUGACGAAGAUAUUUCAAUUCCUGGAACCACAAUCUGAAUCUGAUAUCCUCAAAGUAGACUCUCGGUCAAACUUAUGAACUUUUCAAGCCUUCAAAUUUCCAACUUUCGCCAAUUAGCACCGAACCCUUCUAGAAUUAUUCAAAUGCAAAUCCGGGCAUACGCCGGAGUCAAAAAUCACCAUCCGGACCUAACAGAACCAUCAAAACUUCAUUACAGGGUCAAAUACAAAAAAGUCAAACUUGGUCAACUCUUCCAACUUAAAGCUUCAAACAUGAAAUUCAUUCUUCCAAAUAACUUCUGAAAAACCUGAAAAAAUCAAAACCGACGAUUCACACAAGUCAUAAUACAUCAUACGGAGCUACUCAUGCCCUCAAACUACCAAGCGAAGUGCAAAUGCUCAAAAUGACCGGUUGGGUCAUUACACAACGGUCAGUAGAUUGCUCGGGUUGACUAUUAGUGUGGAGACUUCAGGUACAGCUGCUCGGCGUUCGCAUCCCUGAAGUCCACUCCUCCUUUCUCUAAGCUGUGUAUUUUUCUUUCAGGCAUAUUUACUUUUGUUCAGACCUUUAUCUGUAGUAUUCAAGUAGCUCGUGCACUUGUGACACCGUAUUCGGGGUUGUAUUAGAUAUUUCGGUUGUUAUGUUUUUUCGCACUUUACUUUAGAAUUUAUCACAGUUAUUUCAGUUUGUUUAUUAUUAUUUAAUUUGAACAGUUAAAAAAUAAAUAAAUUGUUCUAACAUUGGCUUGCCUAGCAAAUGUAAUGAUAGGUGCCAUCACGGUCCCGAGGGUGAGAUUUUCGGAUCGUGACAUCAAGUAAACAGAGACACUAAGAUUGAUCAUAUAGAUUAUGGCCAUUGCUGCUAUAACCACGUAAUAGCACCAUUUAUUUAUCUAUAUAUAUUACAUAAGACAAAUAGUGCCAUUUAUAUAUGAAAUGGCAAUAUAUUCAGAUCCAUUUAUUUUCAGCAAUGGUAAUAGCAAUAGCAAUCUCCAUGAUAGCAAUUGCCAUAAUCUGCAUCUUCCUUGUUCUUGCACCAAUGGUUACACUUCUUGGGAAAGCACUUCCCAUUCCAGCUUUUGCUAGGCUUCCCACAGUGUUUUGCUUCUGUUAUUUGUACCUCUGCACACAGAACCAUAGUAAAGGUACUUAGAAUUCCUCUAGGUUAUUGUAAUGUAUGCUAUAUUUUAAGUGCUGAAACGUAUUUUAUAAGAAGAUAAUUAAGUGUUUGGAUAGAAAUAAUAAAANUGAU